Molecule: ribosomal RNA, 441 nt
Filed under: uncultured bacterium
Lineage: Bacteria
Description: bacterial SSU rRNA
Rfam family: Bacterial small subunit ribosomal RNA
Source: RNAcentral
AACGAACGCUGGCGGCAUGCCUUACACAUGCAAGUCGAACGGCAGCACGGGGGCAACCCUGGUGGCGAGUGGCGAACGGGUGAGUAAUAUAUCGGAACGUACCCUGGAGUGGGGGAUAACGUAGCGAAAGUUACGCUAAUACCGCAUACGAUCUAAGGAUGAAAGUGGGGGAUCGCAAGACCUCAUGCUCCUGGAGCGGCCGAUAUCUGAUUAGCUAGUUGGUGGGGUAAAGGCCUACCAAGGCAUCGAUCAGUAGCUGGUCUGAGAGGACGACCAGCCACACUGGGACUGAGACACGGCCCAGACUCCUACGGGAGGCAGCAGUGGGGGAAUUUUGGGACAAAUGGGGGGCAACCCUGAUCCAGCAAUGCCGCGUGAGUGAAGAAGGCCUCGGUUGUAAGUACUCUUUGUCUAGGGAAGAAACGGUUAGAGGCGUAAUAU